UCGAGAAUCUUCCGCAAUGGACGAAAGUCUGACGGAGCGACGCCGCGUGGAGGAUGAAGUGCUUCGGCAUGUAAACUCCUUUUGCCAGGGAAAAAGUUUAUUGAUUGUACCUGGAGAAUAAGAAGUUGCUAAACUCGUGCCAGCAGCAGCGGUAAUACGAGUGCUUCGAGCGUUAUCCGGAAUCAUUGGGCGUAAAGGGUGUGUAGGCGGCGAUGUUAGUCUCCCGUAAAAUCUUUCGGCUCAACCGAGAGUCCGCGGGAGAAACGGCAUUGCUUGAGGAUGGUAGGGGUCUCUGGAACUCAUGGUGUAGCGGUGAAAUGCGUUGAUAUCAUGGGGAACACCAAAAGCGAAGGCAAGAGACUAGACCACUCCUGACGCUGAAACACGAAAGCGUGGGUCGCGAAUGGG
Molecule: ribosomal RNA, 408 nt
Filed under: uncultured bacterium
Lineage: Bacteria
Description: bacterial SSU rRNA
Rfam family: Bacterial small subunit ribosomal RNA
Source: RNAcentral